RNAcentral lists this transfer RNA (69 nucleotides) under Heterocephalus glaber (naked mole-rat). It matches the Rfam family "tRNA". From Rfam's summary of the family: Transfer RNA (tRNA) molecules are approximately 80 nucleotides in length. The record is from Rfam by way of RNAcentral. Lineage: Eukaryota; Metazoa; Chordata; Mammalia; Rodentia; Bathyergidae.
GGGGGUGUGGCUCAGCACAGCACCUGUCUGGCAAGCCCAAGACCCUGAGUUCGAUUCCCGGUACCCCCC